CGCCUCUUGCAAAAUUAACAAAUAAGAGGUCCCGCCUGCCCUGUGACCAGAGUGUUUAACGGCCGCGGUAUCCUAACCGUGCGAAGGUAGCGCAAUCACUUGCUCUUUAAAUGGGGGCCCGUAUGAAUGGCUUAACGAGGGCUUAACUGUCUCCUUUUUCUGGUCAGUGAAUUUGAUCUCCCCGUGCAGAGGCGGGGAUAACACCAUAAGACGAGAAGACCCUAUGGAGCUUUAGACACCAAGGCAGACCACAUUUAAGCUACACAUAUUGAGGAUUUGUUGGGCCAUUUGGCUACUGCCCUAAUGUCUUCGGUUGGGGUGACCACAAGGGAAAACAAAGCCCCUGUGCGGAACGAGGAUACUAUUCCUCCAAACCGAGAGUUUCCACUCUAAGAAUCAGAACUUUUGACCUAACUGAUCCGGCAACGCCGAUCAACGGACCAAGUUACCCUAGGGAUAACAGCGCAAUCCUCUUUUAGAGCUCAUAUCGACAAGAGGGUUUACGACCUCGAUGUUGGAUCAGGACAUCCUAAUGGCGCAGCCGCUAUUAAGGGUUCGUUUGUUCAACGAUUAAAGUCCU
RNAcentral lists this ribosomal RNA (580 nucleotides) under Sillago sp. 1 SS-2020. RNAcentral's name for it is "partial large subunit ribosomal RNA". It matches the Rfam family "Bacterial large subunit ribosomal RNA", at positions 1816 to 2597 of the family's 2925-position model. Lineage: Eukaryota; Metazoa; Chordata; Actinopteri; Sillaginidae. The record is from RNAcentral.